UACGGAGGGGGCUAGCGUUGUUCGGAAUUACUGGGCGUAAAGGGCGCGCAGGCGGCUGCUCAAGUCAGGUGUGAAAGGCCUGGGCUCAACCCGGGAAUUGCGCUUGAGACUGGGCUGGCUUGAGUGCGGGAGAGGAUGGUGGAAUUCCCAGUGUAGAGGUGAAAUUCGUAGAUAUUGGGAAGAACACCGGUGGCGAAGGCGGCCAUCUGGACCGCAACUGACGCUGAGGCGCGAAAGCGUGGGGAGCAAACAGG
This 254-nucleotide ribosomal RNA is filed under the name uncultured bacterium. RNAcentral describes it as "partial 16S ribosomal RNA". It matches the Rfam family "Bacterial small subunit ribosomal RNA", at positions 524 to 776 of the family's 1533-position model. The record is from RNAcentral.